Molecule: ribosomal RNA, 525 nt
Filed under: uncultured Polaromonas sp.
Lineage: Bacteria; Pseudomonadati; Pseudomonadota; Betaproteobacteria; Burkholderiales; Comamonadaceae
Description: bacterial SSU rRNA
Rfam family: Bacterial small subunit ribosomal RNA
Source: RNAcentral
AGACUAUACUAGAGUUUGAUCAUGGCUCAGAUUGAACGCUGGCGGCAUGCCUUACACAUGCAAGUCGAAUGGUAGAGUAGCAAUACUCGAGAGUGGCGAACGGGUGAGUAAUACAUCGGAACGUGCCCAAUCGUGGGGGAUAACGUAGAGAAAUUUACGCUAAUACCGCAUACGAUCUAAGGAUGAAAGCGGGGGAUCGCAAGACCUCGCGCGAUUGGAGCGGCUGAUAUCAGAUUAGGUUGUUGGUGAGGUAAAAGCUCACCAAGCCGACGAUCUGUAGCUGGUUUGAGAGAACGACCAGCCACACUGGGACUGAGACACGGCCCAGACUCCUACGGGAGGCAGCAGUGGGGAAUUUUGGACAAUGGGCGAAAGCCUGAUCCAGCAAUGCCGCGUGCAGGAAGAUGGCCUCGGGUUGGUAAACUGCUUUUGUACGGAACGAAACGGCUCUUUCUAAUAAAGAGGGCUAAUGACGGUACCGUAAGAAUAAGCACCGGCUAACUACGUGCCAGCAGCCGCGGUAAU